ACCCAAAGUCACUUUAGCCAGCCUGCAAAGGAGGCGAGUGCCUAAGGUAUGGGGGAUGAUUGGGGUGAAGUCGUAACAAGGUAGCUGUAGGUGAACCCUGCAGAAGGAUCA
This 111-nucleotide ribosomal RNA is filed under the name uncultured eukaryote. RNAcentral describes it as "partial small subunit ribosomal RNA". It matches the Rfam family "Bacterial small subunit ribosomal RNA", at positions 1419 to 1525 of the family's 1533-position model. The record is from RNAcentral.